Long non-coding RNA from Oryza sativa Japonica Group (Japanese rice), 199 nucleotides. RefSeq lists it as uncharacterized. The record is from RefSeq and is a predicted model, not a curated record. NCBI's taxonomy places the organism in Eukaryota, Viridiplantae, Streptophyta, Magnoliopsida, Poales, Poaceae.
UGGGAGUGGAGCUGAAUUCAUCGCUAGACCGUUAAUCCGUUGCUGUUUUUCUUUUCUUUUUGCCGCUUAUCUCGCUUGGUGUGGUCUGUAAUUCAUUUGGCUUCUAAUCUGAAACCUCCUCGCAAUGUUGGUCAUAUGUUUGGGAGUUGGCUAUCAUGUGUCCCCAAAGAAAUGAGGAAUCUGCUUUUGAUGGGUGCAA